CUCUCACUGGGCGGUCUGCUCCGAGAAGCUAGCCUUGAAAGGCGCCUACCGCUGGAGGGGGCCGGGCUACUUGGGGAAGUCCCUGGCUGCCCUGUCCUUGUCUCUGAAGCCGCUUGCAGGCUGGAGCUCGCUGCACUCAGCAUAAACCCAUCUCCCCUAAUCUCAGGUGCAGCCUUAUCUAUUUCCAGAACUAUCUUUUCAAACCAUUAACUUUUAAGGAAAGUUGACCACUGCAGAACAGGAAGCUCUGACAUCCCCUUCUCAGCCACACCACCAGAAUGACUGCCAAUGGAAACCCUGCGCCUUCCUGCACUGUUCCUACUCAGCUGUGCAGAAAUCUGCUGCCUGCCACAAUGAAGCCAUUCUUUAAGACCAACUAUAUUCCCACCUGCUCAGCGAAGGCUUUUCUAAUUAUGGCUUCCAGUUAGUUCUCUCUCUUCAGCACACAGUUCAGCAAUUUCUACUUCAUGUAUUCAUCUUGCCUUCUCAGACAGACUUCAAAACAUUGAGGUUUUCAUUUUCAGCAUUUAAAAGGAAGAUCCUAAAUAGCUGGAGGAAUUUUCUUUCCCAGGUGAAGAAGAGACUUGUUAUCAGCAGCAGGAAUGGUGUCUGGGAACUCAUGGUCAUCAAUCAUCUUCAUUUUACUCAGUACCAAGAAUUUUCUGACAUUUGCUGAACUUGGCUUCUUAUUUAAAGUGCAUGAAGUUUAAUCAUUGAAAGCAAUAGCAACACGUAUAUGAGGAAAAAUGUAAGCAGUAAGAAUGAGAAUGGACUCCUAGACGCUGGAGCUGGAAGAACUGCUUUGUCAAAGUGUUCAUAUCUGGGUGAAGAGGGACAUCUGAUGUUAGCCAUGGAAAUACAUUAUGACCAGGUCCACUUUCAUGACUGGGUCUUUAGUCAGCCUAUUGGUUGAUCUUUUAGUAGAUGAGGAAUGAACCUAAUUGUGGAUACUCAGGUGUAGAUAUUUGUCACUGUUGGGAGAUGACAAAGGUGUCAUCUGGGGAGGAUAGUUGGACAUCUGACAAAGCUUGAAAGGUGAUUAGACCAACUUAUUGCUGCUUGUUAAUCAACCUUCAAAUGAGCAGUCCUUUGGGACAAAUAUAAUGGCUGAUGACUCUCCCCAUCUGUAUCAAAUGCUCCAACCCUUCUUCAAUGUGUUGUAUUUCCCUGCUCAACAAUAAAUCAGAUAUGGGUUGAUUCUUAAUGUUUAGCCAAAAGGAAAUGUUUUAAGCAAUUAUCCUCAUGCAGAUUUCCAUUUGCAGAAUUAAUGACAAGAGAAUCUUCUAUUAAUCAUCCACCUUUCAUGAGUGCUCAGUUUGGUAGAUUAAAACAUCAUCCUAACGGGGGCUGUCUAAUCUAUAGGCUUCAUUUUAGGAAUACCAAGCUUA
Long non-coding RNA from Sciurus carolinensis (gray squirrel), 1388 nucleotides. RefSeq lists it as uncharacterized. The record is from RefSeq and is a predicted model, not a curated record. Lineage: Eukaryota; Metazoa; Chordata; Mammalia; Rodentia; Sciuridae. The transcript has 3 exons.